GACGAACGCUGGCGGCGUGCUUAACACAUGCAAGUCGAACGGUAAGGCCCUUCGGGGUACACGAGUGGCGAACGGGUGAGUAACACGUGGGUGAUCUGCCCUGCACUUCGGGAUAAGCCUGGGAAACUGGGUCUAAUACCGGAUAGGACCCUGGGAUGCAUGUCCUGGGGUGGAAAGCUUUUGCGGUGUGGGAUGGGCCCGCGGCCUAUCAGCUUGUUGGUGGGGUGAUGGCCUACCAAGGUGACGACGGGUAGCCGGCCUGAGAGGGUGACCGGCCACACUGGGACGGAGAUACGGCCCAGACUCCUACUGGAGGCAGCAGUGGGGAAUAUUGCACAAUGGGCGCAAGCCUGAUGCAGCGACGCCGCGUGAGGGAUGACGGCCUUCGGGUUGUAAACCUCUUUCAGCACCGACGAAGCGCAAGUGACGGUAGGUGCAGAAGAAGGACCGGCCAACUACGUGCCAGCAGCCGCGGUAA
This 478-nucleotide ribosomal RNA is filed under the name uncultured bacterium. RNAcentral's name for it is "partial 16S ribosomal RNA". It matches the Rfam family "Bacterial small subunit ribosomal RNA", at positions 28 to 523 of the family's 1533-position model. The record is from RNAcentral.